UUAAUAUUUAUUUAUUAAUUAGUUUUGUUUUUUAUGAAAGUAUUAAAAAUAAUUAUAAAAUAAAUGGUUUUAGUAUAUUUUAAAGAAAAAAUAAAUUUAAUAAUAGUUAAAUAGUAUUGUAAAAGAAAAUUGAAAUAAUUUGAAAAAUUUUUAUUAUAAAAGAAAAUUUAAUUUAUUGUACCU
Molecule: ribosomal RNA, 183 nt
Filed under: Mycodrosophila dimidiata
Lineage: Eukaryota; Metazoa; Arthropoda; Insecta; Diptera; Drosophilidae
Description: partial 16S ribosomal RNA
Source: RNAcentral